AACGCACAUAGCGCCUGCUAGUACUCUAGUGGGCAUGCCUGUCCGAGCGUCAUGCACACCUAUCAGGCCCUGGGGGAGACCCCGGGGACUGGCGUUGGCGCACAUCGGCCCCUGGCUGAUGGCUCUUAAAUCCAGUGGCGGACCCCCUGGGGGCCUCGGGCGUAGUAGAACCUACGCCGCCCGAGACCAUCGUGGGGCCCUGCCGUGAAAACCCCAGGCGGGACCGCAAGGCCCGCCGCCGCUUGACGAACUGGCCUCGGAUCAGGUAGGGAUACCCGCUGAACUUAA
RNAcentral lists this unclassified non-coding RNA (288 nucleotides) under uncultured fungus. RNAcentral's name for it is "partial contains 5.8S ribosomal RNA, internal transcribed spacer 2, and large subunit ribosomal RNA". The record is from RNAcentral. Lineage: Eukaryota; Fungi.